RNAcentral lists this long non-coding RNA (1121 nucleotides) under Mus musculus (house mouse). RNAcentral's name for it is "small nucleolar RNA host gene 17". The record is from RNAcentral. Lineage: Eukaryota; Metazoa; Chordata; Mammalia; Rodentia; Muridae.
GUGAAGACCACAGUUUCCUGUCGCGUGGAUGUGUUUCCUCUCUGGCCAUUGCCAUCCGCCCAAAUCUACAGACAUCCCGCAUGUUCCCGGGCUCGUCUCCCCAAUACAGGGCACCAAGGUGAGUGCAAGGUGCAUGGGCAGCGCCGUUUCCUCCAUCAAGGAAACCGGGCUGCGGGCCGUCGGUGGGCGGCUGGUCUGCUGGGUCUAGAGGAGGGAGGGCCUCAAGCCGCGUGCUUUUCACCGUCUGAGUAUCUGAAGCCUCAAAGCCAUGUCUGUCGCCUACAAAAAGUGGGUCGGUGUUUACGACCUGUGUCCCAUGUUUUUAGCAUCCUACCAAGGCGAAUCCAUUGACCAGGAUUUAAGUUGAGACUCCCCCAGGACCCCGGGUGCAGCAUCUGGGUCCCCCUGCCCCGCCCUGCCUUGCGCCGCAGCCGCUUCCGUUGUCCUGCCAGGCUGUAGACUGCGCAGCCCUCCUGGAGACAGAUGGAAGCUCCUUGGGUCGACAGAUUACAGCUUCUGGAACCCCCUACUCCCUUCAACUCCGAGAUGGACACCCACUGUCCAGGGAGAGGAUGCCUGGAAAUAACAGCUGGGAUCUACAGUGGCCAAAGAGUUGUCUCCGUCUUGCUACAUCGACAAACUGUGCCAGGAGCGACGGUACACUCCAGAGUGCUGUGCCCUGAUGGGCCUUUGAGUGGCCAGUGCAGUGGAUCAUCAGCCCUGUCUCCCAAGAGCUCCAGUCCCUUCUCCGGAGAGGAAGUGGGUCCACUGGCAGCUCAGGAGGCCAUAGCAGGAUUGUCACGUGUGCUCAACAGUCCUCCUCGGCUUUCCAGAAGAGGCUGGAACAGGGCCCUUGAAGAUGUUUGUGGACAUCAGAGGGCCAAAGACGACACAAAGUGAAACUGGAGACACCGCCCCCCCUUGGCAUCAUGAAACUGCCGAUGUUACUGGCUCAUGCAUGGGAGACACCAGCAUACAAAGUCUUGACACCAACACCUCAGAGGGCUGUGUUCUGUCCCCGUGACCAUCAUCUAGUGCCUGGAAAGACUAGUGACAAGAACUUGUUGCCAACUUCCUAUUACCUCCCUAACAGUUGUGCAAUAAACCCCAUAGGUUAAUUC